UUCAUUAUCCAUUCAUCAGUCAAUGGACACUUUGGCUGCUUCCAUAAUUUGGCUAUUGUAAAUUGCCCUUCCUUUUUAAAAAAAGUAAUACCCAAUUGACCAAACAUACAGUCUUACAGUAGUGGGGAUAUUAAAUGAUUUGACUAGUUCAGUCACUAAACUAAACUGCCAAAGUCUGACAUACAGGUGAUUUUCAACUGAUGUUUACUGAGCACUUACCGUGUACCAGGUUCUAUCCCAAAUGCUUUACAUUCAUCAUCUCAUUCAGUCUUCACAGCCACUUUAAGAGCAAACUGAGUUUGGGGCACCUGGGUGGCUCAGUCAGUUAAGCGUCUGACUUCGGCUCAGGUCAUGAUCUCACAGUUCAUGAGUUCUGGGGAAGAAACAAGGUGAGGCUGGAGAGAGGAGAAAACCCAGAUGGUGAAAGGCCUUUUGUACCCAAUGCCAACGAGAAUGAACUUGAUCCUGAAGGCAAUAGGGAGCUAGCGGAAGAGAGUGUGUAGGGAGAGAGUGU
Molecule: long non-coding RNA, 514 nt
Organism: Herpailurus yagouaroundi (jaguarundi)
Lineage: Eukaryota; Metazoa; Chordata; Mammalia; Carnivora; Felidae
Exons: 3
Source: RefSeq, a predicted model, not a curated record